RNAcentral lists this ribosomal RNA (400 nucleotides) under uncultured bacterium. RNAcentral's name for it is "bacterial SSU rRNA". It matches the Rfam family "Bacterial small subunit ribosomal RNA", at positions 355 to 747 of the family's 1533-position model. The record is from RNAcentral.
UGGGGAAUUUUGGACAAUGGGGGCAACCCUGAUCCAGCCAUGCCGCGUGAGUGAAGAAGGCCUUCGGGUUGUAAAGCUCUUUCGCGAGGGAAGAAAUUGCACCGGAUAAUACCUGGUGUAGAUGACGGUACCUUGAUAAGAAGCACCGGCUAACUACGUGCCAGCAGCCGCGGUAAUACGUAGGGUGCGAGCGUUAAUCGGAAUUACUGGGCGUAAAGCGUGCGCAGGCGGUUUCGUAAGACAGGCGUGAAAUCCCCGGGCUUAACCUGGGAACUGCGCUUGUGACUGCGAGGCUAGAGUACGGCAGAGGGAGGUAGAAUUCCACGUGUAGCAGUGAAAUGCGUAGAGAUGUGGAGGAAUACCGAUGGCGAAGGCAGCCUCCUGGGCCAGUACUGACGCU